Musa acuminata AAA Group (dessert banana) is the source of this 7273-nucleotide RNA transcript. RefSeq lists it as uncharacterized. NCBI's taxonomy places the organism in Eukaryota, Viridiplantae, Streptophyta, Magnoliopsida, Zingiberales, Musaceae. The record is from RefSeq and is a predicted model, not a curated record. The transcript has 9 exons.
UAUGUUGAUUAAUUAACGCGACAUUCCGGACCUGUGGUCGAUGCAGUAACGAACUCAUCCCUUCUCCCACCAUGGCCUGGCAGAGGAAAGCCUUCCUCGUCGGCGGCAGAGGGUUAAGAUCUCCUCCCAACUGCUGCUGCUUCUUCUUCUUCUUCCCAUUUUUAUCUCUCUUUGCUUGCUCCAAUUCUUGUUUGGGGUCGUUUGGUUUCCUAGGGUUCGCCCUCUAACUCUUAUUUUGUUUCUUUUGCGUUGAUCUUUUAAUGUGGGGAAAACGUCAUUGAUGAAUCGGCAUCCUUGAAAGUUUCUUGUGACUCUACUUUCAAUUCCUCUCUGCCACUUUGUUAAUUUGAUGAGCUGUUCCAGUAGCUACUUAGAUACGUUCUUUUCGUGUUGCUAGUAUCGUCGUGAGUGUUUUUGUUUCGAUUUUAAUUAUUUGGACCUGUUGUGAAACUGGAUGAGAUAUUCAAAACAUUUGAUUGUCUAUUCCUUUCUUGGCUUGAUUUGUUGAUCUCUGUUUUACAGUGUGGAUAUUGGUUAUGUUGCAAUCUUUUUGUUUUUUGAUGCAUCUGUCCUGUUCGAUCAGUUGCACUGGCUUGUUGGCACUUGGCCAGGGAAUAACAUUUUCUCUGUUUAGUAUUCCUUUGACGAUACCAUUAGAUUCGUACUCGAGGAGUUCACUGAGCAGUAUAAGGCUACAUCUAUUCCUGAUUAUGUCGAGAAGAUAAUUGAAGUCAGUGACAGACAUGUGACCUUUCAGGACUGGAAAGGUUUCAAAACUAUGGUCGUGCAUUAUAUAGAGGGGCCAACUGCUGCAUCUUGGUCUAUGAUGUCAAUGUUGGUAGAACGUUUAACACUCUUGAUGACUGGCAUGAUGAAGUUCUCAGGAAGGCUAGCCUACUAGAUCAGACAGACCUUUCAUUUUAAUUGGAAACAAGAUUGAUGUAGAUGGUAGAAAGAGUGGUAUAUUGGAUGCUCAAUUCAGUUCUUUAUAGAGAUUUGAUUAAUUUUGUUUUCCAAAUCUUCCAUUCUUCUGUUUGUUUGUUUUUUCCCUAAUAUCAUGCAGGUUUCCAUGAAGAGAGCUGAAGAAUGGUGUGCUUCCGGUGGCAAUAUACCUUACUUUGAAACCUUUGUAAAAGAUGAUUACAAUGUCGAUGCUGCUUUUCACCAUGUUGCUCAACUUGUUCUACAUUCUGAUCUGCCCAAGUCAGUAUUCUCAGUUACUAGUCUGCAUUUGUCAUAGUGGUGAACUUUGAUCUCAUCAUUAUUACUUCUUCUUGUUACAUGUUUUUUUGUUGAUUCACUAGAGUUUAUACUUUUUAGAAUACUUAUGAAAUCCUUUCUAAGAUUGAAUGUAACACCAUAAUUAGUCUUACAUCGAAACUGAUAACUUCAGCAUAAGCAUUUUGAGCUAACAGAUCAAUUAUCCCAUCAAGUCGGGUCGUUUUGACUCCGAUACCAAUUGUCAUGACCUAGCCUGAUAGGAUAACUAGUAUGUUAACUUCGUUGAGCUCAAACUACCGUAUCAAAAUGCUUAAGCUGAAGUUACUAGUAGUAUACUCAUCAGAUUUUUAUAAGUCAAUUUUAGUCAUAGCCCACUUUUGAUAUGGGACUAAUCGGGGUGUUAGAUUGAAUGUACUAGCCAUGCCACUUCUUCUUUAGCUAUACAUUGCUAAUUUCCUACAAUGUAAUGAUAGAUCCUUGUAUGUGGUGAGUGACUUUUGAUAGUUAACAAAGCUGGACCUGCAUAAGCCUAUGCAGCUUGUCUUGAAGACAUUAUGAAGACAGUCUGGAAUGUUAUCAAGGUGAGUACUUUAACAGAGACAAAUCAGUGUAAUGAAAGGAAUAAUACUUAAACAACUACAAAAAAAGUGAAAUCUGUUUAAGUACUUCAACAGAGACAAACAAACAUGGGAUGGACAUUGAUACUCAUUUUGGAACCUACUUGGGUAUAGAAUGAUCUUCUGUUACGAUAACAGCACUAUUUUUUGCGAAGUUUAUUGUUUUGCAAUUAUUGCUUGUGUUUCCAAUCUAAACCGGCUAUUGAAUCAAAUCUAAGUUUCUACAAGCUAUGAAUGCUUUGGAAAUGAGAUUUCUCACGAUGUUUAAUAUUGUAGAUACAAUCGAAGGCAUUUAGGCAUUAGAUGAUAUACACAUGAUUGCUAUGGGGUUGUCAUGCGAUUGAACUAGUGAUAAAUCAAUGACUUCCUUUUAGAGAAUUCUACAAGAAACUGAUAUAUUUUUCAUUGUUAUUCUGGUAGACUGUAUAUCCUGAUGUCCUAUCCAAUCUACAUAUCCUGAGAUGUACUUCUAAAUAGUUGUUCAGCUUAAUGUUUGUUUCAGAAGAUAGUCUGUCUGAAUAUUUAUUAAAUAGUCUCUUAUUUAUUUAUUGAUCUUCCAUAAACUACCAUCUUCCUUUUUAAGCUUGAUCAUUUUCUGAUGCUCACCAUUGUUUUAUAGCAUCUUUACAUAUUUGCCACUCGAAACUUUCAAAAUAUGAUAUUAUGCAUCACAGAUUUUCAAAUACAUAGUGGCAUUAUAAAAUCAUUGUUUGGUCAUCUAUAUUAUCGGGUUGAGUGGCAAAUAUGCUUGGAAUAUUUGUUUGGUGGAUGUAAAUGUUAACUAAUGAUAUAAAUUAGGUUGGACUGUAACCAAUAAUAUAUCUAGAACAUGUACCUCAUAAAGCUGGAACUAAUAUUUGAAGUAUUUCUAUUUAUGUAUAUGAUAAAUGUGAACAAAAGGUAUAAAAGGAAGUCAUUGACAGUUAAAAAAUGACAUAUGUGAUCAAAUAUUAAUUUUUUAGUGGGUGAAUUUAUGUAUUUUUAAAGAAUGUGAUAAUAAAUAUUGUAGUAUGAAAAUUUUGAGCAGACAAUAUGUAAAAGAAGCGUAUUCUAUUUUGCUCAAAGUAUCUUAGGAAAAUCCAGAAGCAUUGGAGGAUGUUUUUUCCAUGUGAUGAUGAACUAAAUAAUGUUGCCAAAUGCCAGAUUCAAAAGCUAAUAUUUUCCCUGAUUUUGAGCACAAUUUGACUGUUUCAUAAAUCUUAAUCUAUCGGCAGAACAAUUCCAGAUCCUGCUUCACAUUCAGAGCAAAGCAGUUGUUUUUACUAGGGUGAGCUGCUGCAGAUUCAGCUUUAACUAACAUCUUGCUCUGCUGAUUAAUUGGGAUCUUGAUACUUCAUUCAUGAUUUUGGCCAUUUGCAUUGGCUGCUAUGCCCAUAUGAAUACUAUAUGCUGCGUCUAGUUUGUGAUACAUGCUUCCUUGGCUCUUGUACAAUGUCUUUUGCAAGAUCUAUAGGGAAAGCCACCUGCCACAAAAGACAACUGGGAGCCGCCAAUAGAACAAAUCCAUUUCUUGUUUAUUAAAUUGCAUACCUUUUCUGUUUGGCAGUAACAUGAGUGACACUAAACCAGUAAAAAUUUAUAAAAUAGUUCUGUAUAAUCCUAUAGAAUUUCAUUAUGAUCAGGCAAGAAACUAAUAUAUGAUGUGGAAAUAUUCAGCGAGUUUCACAGAACCAUAAAUAUUAGACAACCAGAAUUUUCUUGAUUAUUUCAGGGAAAAUUUUGUCCUCAAUAUUUAUAGAAAAAAUAACAUUGUCUAAUUGAAUCUCAUAAAUAAUUUAAGAAAUCGAUAAUAAAUUGGUCCCUUUGGCAACUUAUAUUGUUCUUCAUCAGGUAAAAUCCAUCAUAACGAAUCUUCACCUCAGUUUUGUUACUAAAUGUACAGCUAAUUUACAGAUUCACCAGUUUUCCUUGUCUUAAUAGACUGAUGAAUUCCUGAUAUAUGUUGUUAAACAGUUGCAUAGUUCUGCACCUGAAAACUGUAUGAGUACAUGAUGUAGCUCACUGUUCUUAGAGAUGGCUCCUACUGGAAAGACUUAUAAGCUUCCGAGCUGUGAUAGUUAUUCUGAGGGUUUACAGUUGAAAAUCAAAUUGCCAUGUCGUUGGCAACAAUUCUUCUGCAUUUACUCAGAUUCCAGUUUCAUCAUUUCCAGAAAUUCCAUCAUGCAAAACUAAAACUCUAACCAUGCAUCAUUUAUCCAUGCCUUGUAACUGACAUUUUAUUUAAUUUGAAGAUUUGUGCACCUUUUUUCUUAUCCUUUUAUUCUUUCAAGAAUUUAUCUUAUGAUUUAUGCUUAAAGGAGAUUGGACCAAAUGGCGAUCCUUUUUCAAUGUACUUAUAAGGUUUUUCUGGUAGUCAUAUAAUGAACCCAUUUAUUUGGCAUCUGAAAUCUAAACUUCACCCCUUUGAAGGAAUAAUUGUGGUUUUGUUAGAUAUCUUGGAUAUAUCGAUUAUGCGGCAAUCUUCUUCGGCGUCAUAGGCAAGGUGGACAUUGUAGUAGUAGUUCCAUCAGCAGGUUCGGCAACAGCUGCAAGAGUGGAAGCAAGUGGUAUUGGAGCUCUUGGAGAAGCAGCAACCCAUGGCUGGUGGCAGAAAAGUCGAUGACUCAUCCCAGACCGUUCGAUCCAGAUGAUCCGAACUCAUCAACCCUUCGGAUUCAAUCCCCGAUCAUCAACCGUUGCGUACAUCGUGCACGGCCCUGAUCGCCCGUGACGACUUAAAGCGUGGGCGGGCUUAUGGUGUUACUAAUUGUUAGGAAAGAAUAAAGAAAAAGCAUAGAACAAGUAUAGUUAGUUGAUCAGUUAACUAACGUAACAGAACCCCAAGCAGCUGCUAUAAAAUGGAUUGCCCCCCUUCGCUUUGGUUUCUUUCUUUGUUUUGUUUUGUUGUGUGUGGUGAUUGCUUUCCGGUCGAUCCCUUCUCCCGUCAUGGCCUCCGGCAGCGACACCACGCUCAAGAUCAUCAUCCUCGGCAACAGAGGUGUGGGCAAAACGUCAUUGAUCAAUCGGUAUCCUUGACAGUUUCCUGCGGGGCGCUAGAUUCAAUUCCUUCUGCCAGCUUACUUGCUUGUGCAGGCAAUGUGGAACCGAAGGAGGUCAAUUUUGGUGACUCAUAAAGUGUAAUUAUUCCCUUGUUGGAGUGGUCUAUCAUGAUCUCUGUUUCAAAGUGUUGAGGGCGUGAGUUGCCGGUAUACUCUGUAUAUAAUAGUUUUGCUGGUUGGCAUGGGGACAGUGUUCAAUCUCUGUUUAGUGGUUUAUUGACCUCACCAUUAGAUAUGUGCACAAGAAGUUCCACGAGCAGUAUGUGGCCACUUAUGGUGCUCUUUUUGUUACCAAGGAAAUUCUAAUUGGUGACGCACCUGUGACCUUACAGGUACUUUCUUUUGUAGAUCUGGGAUACUGCAGGACAGGACAGGUUUCAAAGUUUUUGUACCCCAUUCUAUAGAUUGGCCGACUGCUGCAUUUUGCUCUAUGAUGUCAAUGUUGGAAAGUCAUUUGACACUCUUGAUUCCUGGCAUGAUGCACUUUUUAACCAGGUAUGUUGCUUCAAUCUUAGUAUGUUUGAAGAAACCAACAUUACUCCAAUAUGUUGCUCAUCCCACCAAAAAUUGGCUUCAAGAUAUUUGGAGAUCUUUUCAAAAAUUUGCUUUCCAUUAUAAAGCAUGACAACCCUAAUUUGUGCAAUUAUGCUCUUUGCCAGCGGGGGGAUUUUUUGAGGUGGUUGAUAGCAGGUCCAUAAAGAACAUGAGAAAUUUGUUACUCGGUUUUAUGUUUUUACUUAUUAUUUUUUGCUUUCAAUACUACAUGUCUUCUGAUAGUUGGUAAGGGUGCAUAAAGAACAAAUCAAAACAUCUCUUUUUUUGUUUGUUUGGACAUUGUUCUGUUGCAUCAAAUUUAUUUUGGAAAAUUUGACGCAUAAAGACUACCUGCUUAUGCUUUCACAAAGAACAUUUUAUCUAUUUGCUAUUUUAAAUACUUUAACAGUUUAUUUUGGACACACAUUUUACCGUUUUAUAAUACUGCUCUGCUUUACCUACUAUACUAAUAAGUUAGUAAAGUAACUUUGGAGAACAUUGACCAGAUCAUUCUUUAUAUGGUUCUUAGUUGUCUCAUUUUUUUUCGUUUUCCCAUGUUUUAGUGUAUUAUGAGGAUUACAUGUUUAUUUGACUCAUUGGCUUGGCAUUUGAGCAUUUUUUCAUUUGGUUUCGUGUGUUUCCAGUAUGACAUCUGCCAAAAUAAAUGUUAUACAAAAGCUUUUGGAAAUUGCAAUCUACAAUAUGUAGAAGGCAAUUUUCUUCCCAAAGAUUGUAAGAGGUAAAUUGGGGUGAUUCUUUGUUGCUACUUGUUAGAUGAUACGUUGGGCGCUGGCUUGAAAUGAUUAUUUUUGCUUGUUCCUCAUGACAAUACUUCUUCAAGUGUUGAAAUGAGUUUCUUUGGUUCAGAGGUGCCAGAUUCUGGAACAUUCAUGUACCAUAUCUUUUAGUUUUUACCACCCUCUGGUCAGUGAUAGACAAUAUUGAACGAAUAGGAUGCCUCUUUUUCACUUUCUCUACAGGUGCACUCUGUAGCAGAUACAACCUAUAGAGCAAAAGUAACCAUUACCAUUCUGAACAGAUAUGGGAAAUUAAUGGUCCUUAGGGAAAAUGAUAAUGACUGACAAUUUAGACCUUACUUCACCUCAUCAGAUUGUUUAAAGAUCACAAGAAUCACUAGAUGUGAAUUAUUUAGAGGAUCUGAUUCUUCCACAGCUGGCACACGUGUGCAAUUUAGAUGCUCACUCUGUGGUUGAAAUGGGAAUUAAAAAAAUUCGAGAAACUAAAAUCUGGUGAGGCUAGGGUGUCUCAUUUCUCAAACGGCAUGCAGAACAAAAUCUUGGAUUGUGUGCUUGCUUUGUGUUUUUGAAUGACAAACUUUCAUACUUUUUGGUUUCAUUGAAGUUUUAGCUUUUAAGCUUCUUUUAUUUUAACAUGAAAGGAGUGAAAUUGUUAAAAGUGGAACCGCGAGUUUGUGGCUUCUGAAUCUUCUCUACUAAACAUGCGGACAUAUGUACCAGAUGAAUCCGCAGGAUAGACCACUAGAUCUCCCAAAACUUCCACUCAUUUUACUUGGGAACAAAGUUGACGUUGACCGUGGCAAAAGGAGGGUGGUUAGCAUUAAGAGAGCAGAAGCUUGGUGUGCAUCCAAAGGCCAUAUACCUUACUUUGAAACCUCCGCUAAAGUCAAUUUCAAUGUCGAUUCUGUUUUUGUCCAUGCUGCUCAAUUUGCUCUGAAUCCUGAUCUGGGCAUCACCCUUCGAGAACCCGCUUCAGACAGAGCAAGGAAGUAGAUGUGCUUGUUAGGUUGAGCUGCUGCAGAUUCAGGACUUCAUAGUGGCUUGAUCUGUUGAUUGAUCGGGAUCUCGCAUGAUUCGUUCAUGAAUUCAGGUCUUCAGCAAGAUC